GAUGAACGCUGGCGGCGUGCCUAAUACAUGCAAGUCGAGCGAACGGACGAGAAGCUUGCUUUUCUGAUGUUAGCGGCGGACGGGUGAGUAACACGUGGAUAACCUACCUAUAAGACUGGGAUAACUUCGGGAAACCGGAGCUAAUACCGGAUAAUAUUUUGAACCGCAUGGUUCAAAAGUGAAAGACGGUCUUGCUGUCACUUAUAGAUGGAUCCGCGCUGCAUUAGCUAGUUGGUAAGGUAACGGCUUACCAAGGCAACGAUGCAUAGCCGACCUGAGAGGGUGAUCCGCCACCACGGAACUGAGACACGGUUCCGACUCCGACGGGAGGCAGCAGGAGGGAAUCUUCCGCAACCGGCCAAAGCCUGACCGAGCAACGCCGCGUGAGUGAAGAAGGUCUUCGGAUUGUAAAACCCUGUUAUUAGGGAAGAACAUAUGUGUAAGAAACUGUGCACAUCUUGACGGUACCUAAUCAGAAAGCCACGGCUAACUACGUG
Molecule: ribosomal RNA, 497 nt
Filed under: uncultured bacterium
Lineage: Bacteria
Description: partial 16S ribosomal RNA
Rfam family: Bacterial small subunit ribosomal RNA
Source: RNAcentral